GGGAGGGGCAGGAAAAGCAUCAAGAGGCAUCACUGAUGGACAACAUGGCUGCGUAUGGACACAGUCUCCUCAUACUCAGGCAGGCUGCAGCCAAAGGGUUCCCCACACUGAUGCCAGUGUGCCAAGGCUGAGAUGCAGAGCUCAAGCAGCUUACAGAUCUUCAAACUCACGCAGACAUUUGGAGGCAUCACACGCACUUGGCUGCUAAAGACAUUUUCUGGCCCUGAAUCCCCGCCUGGCUACCUUUGGCAGCAUUGGCGGCUGCUGACCUACACUCUGUGAUUAUGAUAACCACCACAUCGCCCACCCCCCUACUGCCCAGAAUUCACUCAGAAACCACAUCUACCACUGCCAGUCAUAAUUUACCAUUAAUGGGCUCUACCGCUGUCCAUCACGGACGGUCGGCCCCUGCCUGGAAUCUGCUGUGUGACGCAGCUCAGCUCUGGAGUUCUACCCACACAGCAGCAGGCACCGCAAGGGACAGGGGCUAAACUAAAGCCGCGCCAGAAGGCCCUCAGGUCUGUUCUUAAAUCGCCUCGUCUUACUGGUACUUUACAAGCCGCCUUCAAAGAUCGGAGGCUGCUCACCGCCACUUCAACACGGAGUAUUUAAACAAACAGAUCAGCUUGAGCUCAUUGGACUCCACGAACAUUUAAAUGGGUUAAUGUAUAGUUGGUGCUUUAGUGCUUUAUCUAUACUAUCCCUCAUUUUUUAAUUAUGCUAUCAGUGCUCCCACCAUGAGCAUUAUUUGUUCAGGGAGCUACUAUUUAAUAAAGCUGUUCUUCCAACAGG
Molecule: long non-coding RNA, 792 nt
Organism: Alosa alosa (allis shad)
Lineage: Eukaryota; Metazoa; Chordata; Actinopteri; Clupeiformes; Clupeidae
Exons: 2
Source: RefSeq, a predicted model, not a curated record